Molecule: ribosomal RNA, 279 nt
Filed under: uncultured bacterium
Lineage: Bacteria
Description: partial 16S ribosomal RNA
Rfam family: Bacterial small subunit ribosomal RNA
Source: RNAcentral
UGCCAGCCGCCGCGGUAAUACGGAGGGGGUUAGCGUUGUUCGGAAUUACUGGGCGUAAAGCGCGCGUAGGCGGUUAAUUAAGUCAGAUGUGAAAUCCCCGGGCUCAACCUGGGAAUGGCCUCUGAUACUGGUUAACUAGAGUUUGGAAGAGGGGAGUAGAAUUUCAGGUGUAGCGGUGAAAUGCAUAGAGAUCUGAAGGAAUACCGGUGGCGAAGGCGACUCCCUGGUCCAGAACUGACGCUGAGGUGCGAAAGCGUGGGUAGCAAACGGGAUUAGAUA